RNAcentral lists this ribosomal RNA (433 nucleotides) under uncultured bacterium. Its description in RNAcentral is "partial 16S ribosomal RNA". It matches the Rfam family "Bacterial small subunit ribosomal RNA", at positions 29 to 507 of the family's 1533-position model. The record is from RNAcentral.
AACGAACGCUGGCGGCAUGCCUAACACAUGCAAGUCGAACGAGACCUUCGGGUCUAGUGGCGCACGGGGGCGUAACGCGUGGGAACCUGCCCUUAGGUUCGGAAUAACUCCCCGAAAGGGGUGCUAAUACCGGAUAAUGUCUGCGGACCAAAGAUUUAUCGCCUUUGGAUGGGCCCGCGUUGGAUUAGCUAGUUGGUAGGGUAAAAGCCUACCAAGGCGACGAUCCAUAGCUGGUCUGAGAGGAUGAUCAGCCACACUGGGACUGAGACACGGCCCAGACUCCUACGGGAGGCAGCAGUGGGGAAUAUUGGACAAUCGGCGAAAGCCUGAUCCAGCAAUGCCGCGUGAGUGAUGAAGGCCUUAGGGUUGUAAAGCUCUUUUACCCGGGAUGAUAAUGACAGUACCGGGAGAAUAAGCUCCGGCUAACUCCGUG